AAAUAGCUCCACUUUCUCACAAGUUCAAAGGCGCAUUGCAUUGUUCAUAGGGCGUUAGUCUGACAAUAGUUCCUCUUUUGUUGACCUCGUUGCCCCGCGUCAAGAACAAAAGUUGGGGUUUCGCCAAGGUUCGCAUAGUCUAUGCAUAGUUUAAGGGCAAAGAGGGUCAUUUUACCAGUUGCAUCUCAGACUUUGUUCCGAACAGAACUUGUUGAUAAGACUGUAAGACACUUCCUCCCACUAUGGCAAAGAAAAAGGGAUUUAUGACCCCAGAAAGGAAGAAGAAGCUUAGGACACUUCUCCGAAAAAAAGCAGCUGAAGAAUUAAAAAAAGAGCAAGAACGCAAAGCCGCAGAAAGACAAAGAGUCAUUUCUGAACGAUGUGGAUCAAAAAAGGACAUUGAAAAUGCAAGCGAUGACGACUUGAAAAAAAUUGUCAAGGAAUAUUUCGAUAAAUGGUACAACUUGGAAGGAGAAAUGUUCUUUUUGCAAAGAGAGGUCAUUCUUCGAGACCUACAAAUCAACGAACUCAACAUGUCUGUGAGCGACAUGAAAGGAAAAUUCAUCAAACCUACUCUCAAAAAAGUAUCGAAAUACGAAAACAAAUUUGCAAAGCUUCAAGAAAAGGCAGCCAAAUUUGCUUUUGCCAAUCAGCUUAAAGCAAAGGACAAAUGAAGAACUUCUCUAAAGAGGUUGAUUGGUGCCACUUUAAAUCUUGCUAUGCAUUCGUUCUUCAGUUUGUAUAUUCAUGACUAAGUUUAAAAUAAAAGUUGAUGUGUGGA
This is a long non-coding RNA of Tigriopus californicus, 781 nucleotides long. RefSeq lists it as uncharacterized. The transcript is spliced from 2 exons. The record is from RefSeq and is a predicted model, not a curated record. NCBI's taxonomy places the organism in Eukaryota, Metazoa, Arthropoda, Copepoda, Harpacticoida, Harpacticidae.